Molecule: ribosomal RNA, 545 nt
Filed under: Amanita rhacopus
Lineage: Eukaryota; Fungi; Basidiomycota; Agaricomycetes; Agaricales; Amanitaceae
Description: eukaryotic LSU rRNA
Rfam family: Eukaryotic large subunit ribosomal RNA
Source: RNAcentral
UUGACCUCAAAUCAGGUAGGACUACCCGCUGAACUUAAGCAUAUCAAUAAGCGGAGGAAAAGAAACUAACAAGGAUUCCCCUAGUAACUGCGAGUGAAGCGGGAUAAGCUCAAAUUUGAAAUCUGGCAGUCUUUUUUUUCUUCUUUGGCUGUCCGAGUUGUAAUCUAGAGAAGUGCUACCUGCACUGGACCAUGUAUAAGUCUCCUGGAAUGGAGCCUCACAGAGGGUGAGAAUCCCGUCUUUGACAUGGACCGCCAGUGUGUUGUGGUGUGCUCUCAAAGAGUCGAGUUGUUUGGGAAUGCAGCUCUAAAUGGGUGGUAAACUCCAUCUAAAGCUAAAUAUUGGCGAGAGACCGAUAGCGAACAAGUACCGUGAGGGAAAGAUGAAAAGGACUUUGGAAAGAGAGUUAAACAGUAUGUGAAAUUGUUGAAAGGGAAACGCUUGAAGUCAGUUAUGUUGGCUAGGGAUCAACCUAGCUAUUUUUGCUGGGUGAAUUUCCUAGUUUGACAGGCCAACAUCAGUCUUGACUGCUGGAAAAGAGCAGA